ACGCGAAGAACCUUACCCACCUUUGACAUGUACGGAAUCCUUUAGAGAUAGAGGAGUGCUCGAAAGAGAACCGUAACACAGGUGCUGCAUGGCUGUCGUCAGCUCGUGUCGUGAGAUGUUGGGUUAAGUCCCGCAACGAGCGCAACCCUUGUCAUUAGUUGCUACAUUUAGUUGGGCACUCUAAUGAGACUGCCGGUGACAAACCGGAGGAAGGUGGGGAUGACGUCAAGUCCUCAUGGCCCUUAUAGGUGGGGCUACACACGUCAUACAAUGGAUGGUACAAAGGGUCGCCAACCCGCGAGGGGGAGCCAAUCCCAUAAAGCCAUUCGUAGUCCGGAUCGCAGUCUGCAACUCGACUGCGUGAAGUCGGAAUCGCUAGUAAUCGUGGAUC
RNAcentral lists this ribosomal RNA (391 nucleotides) under uncultured bacterium. RNAcentral describes it as "bacterial SSU rRNA". It matches the Rfam family "Bacterial small subunit ribosomal RNA", at positions 959 to 1350 of the family's 1533-position model. The record is from RNAcentral.